GACGAACGCUGGCGGCGUGCUUAACACAUGCAAGUCGAACGAUGAACCUCCUUCGGGAGGGGAUUAGUGGCGAACGGGUGAGUAACACGUGGGCAAUCUGCCCUUCACUCUGGGACAAGCCCUGGAAACGGGGUCUAAUACCGGAUACGACACGGGGUCGCAUGACCUCCGUGUGGAAAGCUCCGGCGGUGAAGGAUGAGCCCGCGGCCUAUCAGCUUGUUGGUGGGGUGAUGGCCUACCAAGGCGACGACGGGUAGCCGGCCUGAGAGGGCGACCGGCCACACUGGGACUGAGACACGGCCCAGACUCCUACGGGAGGCAGCAGUGGGGAAUAUUGCACAAUGGGCGAAAGCCUGAUGCAGCGACGCCGCGUGAGGGAUGACGGCCUUCGGGUUGUAAACCUCUUUCAGCAGGGAAGAAGCGAGAGUGACGGUACCUGCAGAAGAAGCGCCGGCUAACUACGUGC
Molecule: ribosomal RNA, 466 nt
Filed under: Streptomyces chattanoogensis
Lineage: Bacteria; Bacillati; Actinomycetota; Actinomycetes; Kitasatosporales; Streptomycetaceae
Description: bacterial SSU rRNA
Rfam family: Bacterial small subunit ribosomal RNA
Source: RNAcentral